UGGAAGAUCCUGGAUUUUAAC
Molecule: non-coding RNA, 21 nt
Filed under: Caenorhabditis elegans
Lineage: Eukaryota; Metazoa; Nematoda; Chromadorea; Rhabditida; Rhabditidae
Source: RNAcentral